Molecule: small nuclear RNA, 92 nt
Filed under: Microcebus murinus (gray mouse lemur)
Lineage: Eukaryota; Metazoa; Chordata; Mammalia; Primates; Cheirogaleidae
Source: RNAcentral
GUGCUCGCUUUGGCAGCACCUACACUAAAGUUGGAACAAUACUGAGAAGAUUAGCAUGGCCCCUUUUAUUUAAAUAGAAAAAAAAAAAUGUU